UGCCGCGUGUGUGAAGAAGGCCUUCGGGUUGUAAAGCACUUUCAUCGUGAGGAAGGUGUGUUAAUAGCUAUUAUUUGACGUUAGCGACAGAAGAAGCACCGGCUAACUCCGUGCCAGCAGCCGCGGUAAUACGGAGGGUGCGAGCGUUAAUCGGAAUUACUGGGCGUAAAGCGCAUGCAGGUGGUUUGUUAAGUCAGAUGUGAAAGCCCGGGGCUCAACCUCGGAAUAGCAUUUGAAACUGGCAGACUAGAGUACUGUAGAGGGGGGUAGAAUUUCAGGUGUAGCGGUGAAAUGCGUAGAGAUCUGAAGGAAUACCGGUGGCGAAGGCGGCCCCCUGGACAGAUACUGACACUCAGAUGCGAAAGCGUGGGGAGCAAACAGGAUUAGAUACCCUGGUAGUCCACGCCGUAAACGAUGUCUACUUGGAGGUUGUGGCCUUGAGCCGUGGCUUUCGGAGCUAACGCGUUAAGUAGACCGCCUGGGGAGUACGGUCGCAAGAUUAAAACUCAAAUGAAUUGACGGGGGCCCGCACAAGCGGUGGAGCAUGUGGUUUAAUUCGAUGCAACGCGAAGAACCUUACCUACUCUUGACAUCCAGAGAACUUUCCAGAGAUGGAUUGGUGCCUUCGGGAACUCUGAGACAGGUGCUGCAUGGCUGUCGUCAGCUCGUGUUGUGAAAUGUUGGGUUAAGUCCCGCAACGAGCGCAACCCUUAUC
RNAcentral lists this ribosomal RNA (715 nucleotides) under Vibrio sp. Its description in RNAcentral is "bacterial SSU rRNA". It matches the Rfam family "Bacterial small subunit ribosomal RNA", at positions 395 to 1109 of the family's 1533-position model. Lineage: Bacteria; Pseudomonadati; Pseudomonadota; Gammaproteobacteria; Vibrionales; Vibrionaceae. The record is from RNAcentral.